CGAGUGUGAGGGUCGGCGGCACGCUACAAUAGUUAACCUCAGACAAUUUGGUCAUUUUUUUAAAUGGUAUAUGUACUCUGUAAUUAAAUUUAUCAGCAAUCUACAGAAUUUUCAACACCUGAAAUGGAAAAUGGCUGGGAAAUAUGUAUUUGAACAUGCAAAAGUUCCCCAGGUCCAAUUCAUAAAAAAAAGAAACAUUGAUGCUCAAAAUGAAACAUACUAAUAGUCCAAACAUGAAACAUUUAGUGGUACCCACAACCACUAUCAAGAAAAAAUUGAUACCAAGACCACAAUUCUGAUAAAGCAAUAUCCAAUGUAGUAUCUGGGCUAGGGCUAUUUAUUUGUGAAUAACCUACUUGAUGAAUUUCUGAGCAAUGGAGGGUACUUUGGUUUGAACCGCAAUUCACUGGUUCACAAGUAACUAUGAAAUGCACCUGUUACAGUCGCACUGCUACCAACAAAAUUAACACUCCCGACCAAAAUGGCUCUUUUCAAUCUAUGAGGGUUACUUCUGCUUGAGGCAGAUAAGCCAAUAAUACCACAUUGGCCGUACAGAGGAAGGACAGAAGCUGGGAAACAGAUUUGCCUGUUGCCUCGACAGCCUUCGCUGAGUUUUAUUAACAUCAACCACUGUUUUCCACCAUUCAAUAUUAUUAGAUCACUUUACAUGACAAAUACUUGACUACAUUUAUAAUCCUCCUGGAUCAGAAGGCUAACAUUUUGGAAAUACAUGUAUCAUAAGAGCUAAUAGACCUUGCCUUUACAAGCAGCAAAACUGGUCUUACAUUGGUUAAACUUAGACCAUAAAUGCGUCAGCAGUAUUCAUUGUUACAAAAACCAGUUGUGAGUCUAACACUUUGAAUAAGGUGUGUGGCAGGAGUAUUAACCAGCUCUACUUUUGCGAAGACGUUCUGCUUGGUUGCGCUAACAACUGGCAUUUAAUGAUGGAAAUCACAAAAAUAAGGAAUCUGGAAUGAGUAACUUGAGCUUUACAGCCAAUAUAACUACAAAGAUAGGUAUUAUAACUACAAGAUAACCACAAGCACGUUUGACUUUUCACUUUUCCCUGUGUUCUCCCUAAUUAAUGGAUUGGUGCGAGAAGAAAUGGCCAUUUUCAUUUGUCUAGCAUGUUUGGCAGGUAACUUCCCUUUCCUUAUCUUUAGUGGAAGUUCGACCCCAUCCUGACCACUAAGAGGUACAAGGGAGGAAGCCUGAGGGAAGAAUCCAACAGGCUCGGGGAGGGGGAGGCAGCCACUGAUCAAAUUCAAGAUGGCGCACUGUUCCGUACAAAAGUGUUGCAACAGCUGGCACAAGAAACAGUACAGUAUUUCAUUUCAUCAAUUCCCGAAGGAUUCUGCCUGUAGGAAAAGAUGGGUAGUGGCCAUACGACCUGAGGAAGGUACCAACUUUAAGGUGACGGAUCGAACUUAUGUUUGUUCGCAACAUUUUCUGGAGACGGAUUUUUCGAACACCAUGACCGGUGUCCGAAAGCUGCAUAAAGGUGUUAUUCCUUCUCAGUUCUCCUGGACACUGAAAAAGAUGAAGAGAACACCACCAAAAAACAGACACAGGGCCCACAUCACCAAAGCUUAGACUUAUCAGUUCGAAUCAGAUCCAAAUUAAGCCCCAUUUUAGUUUUUCAAGAAGGUUGUUGUCGUUCCCGUAUGCCCAAUAAAAUAAAGCAACCAUUAGAAGAUCCCGCUUGUACUGUAGUGGUCUAGAGUUGCGCUUCUCGUCUGCACCAAAGUUCUGAAGGUUAGAAGUUCCAGUGAGAGUCGACUUAGCAGUAGGUAGUAGGAGAAUUCCUAGUCAGUUUCCCUCCCUUGAAAACCCACCCGUCCUAACAAGUUAACAAAAAUGAAAAAUUAUCAUCAGAUUUAAUUGUCUAUUAAAUUGAGAAAUAUUUCCAAAACUAAAAUCAAAAUCGAGAAGGCGGACCAAAAACAAAAUUCUAAAGAAAAGGAAAGAAAGAAAGGAAAGACACAUUUAAAUCCGUUAAUGUGACCGACACCUGCUAUUUUAAACUUUGUUUAAACUCUAAUCAUAUCGAUCAAUGUAACAAUUGUUUAGAAUGUAACUAUUGCAAAUCUUGCAACAAAUGAAAAACUUGUUAACAUUGUGUGCACUGCUAUGUUUGCGAAGAUUGCAUAACCUGUACCAAUUGCAUAGAUUGCGUCCUUUGUCAUCGUGUAAAUUGCAACAGCUGUGAUAGUAGUACCAAUUGUGAUCAUUGCAUCGAAUGUGUAAAUUGCAUUGAUUGUAAUUACUGCAUCAACUGCAAAGAUUUAUAUGGUGUAUUGUUUGUAGUAUUUAUAAACGACAGCAACAGCGGAUACGCUGUUACAUAAGGAUUAGAUUUAAAAAAGAAAAUUAUCCUGAUUUUGAAACUUGGCUUUAUAAUUGAAUAUGACGAAGAUAUAGAGAGAAUCCCUUACAUAUAGUCAAAUUUAAUAGAUGAAGCAGAUUGAGUCAUUUAACUCAUAAAAAAGAAAAACAAUUAUAUGUUUUUAAUCAAUUUGAGCCAUGGAAACUAAAAAGUGUAUCUAUUGUUGCAAAGAAAAACUGCUACCAGAGUUUAAAUUAAAACUCAACAGAACAUUAGAAAACCAUAGGAAAUGGAGUAUCUGUAAACAUGAUCAAUACGAAUAUAAUUGCUGGGAAUGUAGACCCAUUACUAAAGAAAAAGCGAGAAAUGCCAAAGACUACAAGCCUGAAGAUCUAUAUUGCGAGCAUCAAAAGUAUAAAUCGACAUGCUGGGUAUGUAAUAUUGGAAACCAAAAUAGAGACCAAAUAAAGGCGAAACGAAACAUUUAAAACUAAAUAAAAAUAACCAACUCUCAAAAUUGAGAGUUACAUUUGAAAACAAUUAGAUAUAAUAUAAAAAGGAGUAAUAUAAAAAAAACGAACAGACAAAAUAAUCCAGAUGGCAGACCACUGCUCUAUAACUUUAGAUACUACAAAAAGUCAUUUUUAUCUGAUUUUAUCGAGCGAUACAACAUACCCUUACCCCCACCAAGGAAGAAGAACAAAUUAACGUACUUUAUUUUAGCAAUUGCGAGAAAGCUCACUAUUGUCGGAUUAAAAAUUUAUCAAGGUUGAUAGGUGACAUCAACAAACACAACGGUAAACAAUAUUUUUGCUUUAGGCGUUUCUCCCACUUUCAAAACCAACAAAGACUAGUCAAACACAAAGAAGACUGUCAAGAAAUAGACGUCGCGCCUUCUAAAGCUGUGCUCCCCGAAAAAGGAAAGAACAUUCUCAGAUUUGAAAACCACAAAAAUUAAUAGGAUGCUCUAUUUGUUAUCUAUGCAGAUUUCGAAUCUGUUUUAGAGCCUCUUUUACCUGAACAGGCCAACACGAUCAAAAUUCAGCGUCAUAAACCAUGUGGUUACUCUUACGCAGUCGUGCCUUGCGACAGUGUCUGCAUGAGUAGCAAAACUUAAUGAGGUCAAGACAUAGCCACUCAUUUCAUAGAGUCUCUCUUGCGAGAAACAGAAACGAUUAACGAAACGUCAGCCAAACCAAAACCACUUGUUUGGAUGCCUAAAUUACAAAAACAACACGAUAAAUGCAACGCCUGUUGGAUCUGCGAGAAGCAUAUCUAUCCAACUGAAGAACCGCAGUGUCAAUGUCCUUUUCCUAGAGGACUAAAGGCCAAAAGAUAGACAAUCCGCAAGGCGGUACGUAUAUUAAAUUGCCCAAGUAUAUCGAAAAUGAGAAGGCCGUAAUAAACAUUAAAAACGGAGAUUGCAUUCGUUGGGCAAUAUGCGCGGCUUUUAAAUUAUAUUCAGAUGAAGUCAAACGCAAAAUUGAAAGGGAUCCAUGUUAUCGAAUAGAACGCGUAAAACUAACAACUUAUAAUCCACAUGAAUUAGAUUUCACUGGCAUAGACUUUCCAAUACCAAAGAACCAAAUUCUUAAAAUAGGAGCACAAAACAAUUUAUCCAUUAAUUUAUAUGGGUAGGCACGUUUACCACAUUAUAUUUGUCUAAAAACGUUUCGACAGGUAGACAUGUUGACUUCUUGUUAUUCGACAACGGCCACAUACAACAUUAGUGUUGGAUUGAAAACAAACCGCGACUCAUUUCAAAUUUGGUGCCAUGGCCACGCCAUUUACAAAUGUCUCAAAUGUCAAUGUAUUUUUCACGAAGCUGACAAAUUCACCAAACACCAGGAAGAUUGCCUAGGAUUAGACGUGCCCGUUACUAAAGUAAUGCUACCGCCAGAAAAUGACAAUAUAUUAAAACUCGGUCUGAAAGAUGACAAAAAUAAACAAUUAGCACCUUCCGUUGUUUACGCUGAUUUUGAGUCCGUGUUAGCACCAAUGCCACCUGCUAAUGGCAACACGGUUAAAAUGCAUUUACAUAUCGCUUCGGGGUAUGCAUCUUUCAUUAUUCGUAACGACGGCGUUUGCAUUAAGCGUCAAACUUACCGUGAGACUAAUGCGGGAAAAUCGUUUGUUAGGUCGUUAUUAUUAGACAGACGCGCAAUAAACAAAAUAUUUGAAAAGCCAAAAAUAAUAAAAUGGAACUUAGAAUUAUCCAAACCGCAUCGAAAAAUAAUAUCUGCUGGAUUUGUGAAAAACAAAUUUGGCUCGACCAAUUCGAUCAGCGCCAUUGUUUAAAACUGACAGAGCCGAAAACUAUAACUGACAAAUCGAAAUUCACCAAAAUGAGAGAAGACACUUGCAUGGUAUGCCAAAAGCCAAAUAAUAAAUUUCGCAGAGUUUGCGGCCAUUGUCACGUUACAGGCAAAUAUCGCAGCCCGGCGCACCAUUUAUGUAAUUUGCAAUUGCAGAUUAAACCGUAUAAAACAGACAUUUCCGUGUUUCUAAAUAAUUUGGAAAAUUACGACGCACAUUUGAUUAUUUAAGGGCUGUCAGCAAAUACGGCGGAAAAACUGCGUUGCAUUCCCAACAAUUCCAAAAAGUACAUUUCGUUUUUAGUGGGUCAACUCAAGUUUUUGGAUUCAUUUAAUUUUUACGAGUAUAUACGAGUAUAUGGAUUCAUUCGAACGAUUUGAAGAAACUCGUUUACCGCCACGAGAAGCUUUUUAUAGUUCAUUGAAACAGGGAGAUAUAUUAGAAGAAGAAUAUCACCAUGCUCAAGAAAUUUUUCAAAAGUUGAAAUGUAAAAACCUGGGUGAUUUCCACGAUUCAUACGUUAAACGGAUGCGUUGUUAUUAAACUGUGUGUUGGAAAAUUUCCGCAAAGUGAGCUGCAAAAAUUACGGUUUAGACCCGGCUAAUUAUUAUGCCGCGCCUGGUCUGGCCUGUCACGUCUUGUUAACAUUUUCCAAAAUAAAACUGGAACUUUUGAAAGACGUAGACAAACGGUAGUAUUUUGAGCGCAGGAAACAAACAUUACGCCAAAGCAAAUAAUAAAUAUUUGCUCGAUUAUCAGCCAAGCAAACCGUCGACUUACAUUAUAGAUUUAGACAAAAAUAAUCUUUAUGGCUGGGCAAUGAGUCCACUGUUACCCGUUGGAAGAUUUAAAUUGGGUAAACAAUUUGAAAACUUUUACAAGUGAUUAUAUUUUGCAAU
Long non-coding RNA from Acanthaster planci (crown-of-thorns starfish), 5541 nucleotides. The record is from RefSeq and is a predicted model, not a curated record. NCBI's taxonomy places the organism in Eukaryota, Metazoa, Echinodermata, Asteroidea, Valvatida, Acanthasteridae.